Molecule: long non-coding RNA, 1675 nt
Filed under: Nicotiana benthamiana
Lineage: Eukaryota; Viridiplantae; Streptophyta; Magnoliopsida; Solanales; Solanaceae
Description: long non-coding RNA (NBEN_LNC036445)
Source: RNAcentral
UUGAGGUUUCUAGUAGAUAUCUAUGCUUUCUCUCAACAACACCAUUUUGUUGUGGUGUGUGAGAGAAAGAAGUUUGAUGUAUUAUGCCAUGUUCAGCAAAGAAGUUGCUGCCACAGCCACUAGAACCAAGUUCAAAUGCAUUAUCACUUCUAAUGGUUUGAACCAUAGACUGGAAUUGAGUUUUAACCAUGGCAAUGAAAGCUUUAAUGAGGGGAAAGGCAUUACUCCUGGACCCCAUAAGGUGGGUCCAAGUAGCUCUGGUAAAGUCAUCAACUAUAGUUAAAAAAUAUUUACAACCAUUAUGAGUAGAAGUGGCAUAGGGACCUAUAAGGUGGGUCCAAGUAGCUCUAAUAAAAUCAUCAACUAUUGUUAAAAAAUAUCUACAACCAUUAUGAGUAGAAGUGGCAUAUGGACCCCAUGUAUCAACAUGGAUUAGUUGAAAAGCAUGUGUUGUUUUAAUGGAACUGUCAGGAAAGGAUAGUCUAGAUUGCCUGGCCAAAGGACAUAUAGUAUAGAGAAAAGGCUGCUUUGUGGAAAAUUUACAUGGUAUAGAAGGCAAAUUGAGAAGGUGAAGAGACUUGUCUUUGUCUCUCGUCUUGGAGUAGAAUAUUGUAUGCACAAUCCAGAGUUGGUGGAGGUUGUAGCAUAAGAAUAUUGCUUCUGACUCCUACAUAGAUGUCAUUGAGCCCCAUAAGGAACUGAUGCAGUUUGUUUUCAUCAUCUUCCCUUUGAAGCUCAGUUCUGGCAUUGCAUGUGCAAGUGUUGCCACGAGAUGCACGCAUGAAGUUCAGUUCAUCCCACAGUUUCUUUAGCUUGUCGAAAUAAGAAGCUAUAUCCAGAGACCCCUGAUUAGUUGAUGCCAGCUCCUGCUUAAUCUCAAAUAUCCUGGUUCCAUUCACAGUCCCAUAUCUACUAUUGAGUUGAUUCCAGAUGCUUUGAGCAGUGUCGGAAUACUGAACACUCUCGGCUAUCUCUGACGCAAGGGAAUUAGUAAGCCAAGAGAUAACCAUAUUGUUGCACCUAUCCCAUUGCCUAAACUGAGGAGAGUUUUCUGGAGGUUUGGGAAUCGUUCCGUCAAUGAAACAUAUUUUAUUCCUAGCAGAUAACGAGACGAUUAUAUUACGUCUCCAUCCCCAAAAACCAACCCAUGAAAAGUGGUUGCUCACCAAAGAAAUUCCCGGAACAUCAGAAGACAAAAGAAACAAAGGGUUUGAGGGGUCAAUUACAAAAGUAUCAGUCCUAGACUCAGAUGUAUCACAAAAAUUCACCAUGUAUCACCAACAUUAACCAUUUUGACCGAGAAAGGAUUUUGGGCCUGAAGUUUGUAAGAUUAAGAAACCCUAAGUGCUCCUAGGUAAAUAAUUCCAGAAAUCGACUGACUCCGACUGACUCCUACGUUUGAACUGACGAGAGAAAGAAUGAAACUCAGAAAAACUCAGAUAAAUCAACAAUCACCGAAGGAUAUCCAGAGAAAAAUAGAGAAAAAGAGAAAAACCUAGAUUUGUCGGAGAAGACUGAAACUUUGACGAGAAACGGUGAGGGUAACAUCGCAAUGGAGUCCGUGACAAGCGGAAUCAUAGUCCCCGCUCUGAUACCAUGUUAAAGUCGACCAUUUCCAUGGAUGAACAGUAUCUAUUUUCAGAUGAUAGAGAGAGAAAGAGGAAGAAGCUUUUAC